Molecule: ribosomal RNA, 446 nt
Filed under: uncultured bacterium
Lineage: Bacteria
Description: partial 16S ribosomal RNA
Rfam family: Bacterial small subunit ribosomal RNA
Source: RNAcentral
CCUACGGGGGGCUGCAGUCGAGAAUCAUUCACAAUGGGGGAAACCCUGAUGGUGCGACGCCGCGUGGGGGAAUGAAGGUCUUCGGAUUGUAAACCCCUGUCAUGUGGGAGCAAAUUAAAAAGAUAGUACCACAAGAGGAAGAGACGGCUAACUCUGUGCCAGCAGCCGCGGUAAUACAGAGGUCUCAAGCGUUGUUCGGAAUCACUGGGCGUAAGGCGUGCGUAGGCUGUUUCGUAAGUCGUGUGUGAAAGGCGCGGGCUCAACCCGCGGACGGCACCUGAUACUGCGAGACUAGAGUAAUGGAGGGGGAAGCGGAAUUCUCGGUGUAGCAGUGAAAUGCGUAGAUAUCGAGAGGAACACUCGUGGCGAAGGCGGGUUCCUGGACAUUAACUGACGCUGAGGCACGAAGGCCAGGGGAGCGAAAGGGAUUAGAUACCCGAGUAGUC